Molecule: ribosomal RNA, 495 nt
Filed under: uncultured bacterium
Lineage: Bacteria
Description: partial 16S ribosomal RNA
Rfam family: Bacterial small subunit ribosomal RNA
Source: RNAcentral
GACGAACGCUGGCGGCGUGCCUAAUACAUGCAAGUAGAACGCUGAAGGAGGAGCUUGCUUCUCUGGAUGAGUUGCGAACGGGUGAGUAACGCGUAGGUAACCUGCCUGGUAGCGGGGGAUAACUAUUGGAAACGAUAGCUAAUACCGCAUAAUAGUAGAUGUUGCAUGACAUUUGCCUAAAAGGUGCAAUUGCAUCACUACCAGAUGGACCUGCGUUGUAUUAGCUAGUUGGUGGGGUAACGGCUCACCAAGGCGACGAUACAUAGCCGACCUGAGAGGGGGAUCGGCCACACUGGGACGGAGACACGGCCCAGACUCCUACGGGAGGCAGCAGUAGGGAAUCUUCGGCAAUGGACGGAAGUCUGACCGAGCAACGCCGAGGGAGUGAAGAAGGUUUUCGGAUCGUAAAGCUCUGUUGUAAGAGAAGAACGAGUGUGAGAGUGGAAAGUUCACACUGUGACGGUAUCUUACCAGAAAGGGACGGCUAACUACGUG